RNAcentral lists this long non-coding RNA (206 nucleotides) under Elaeis guineensis (African oil palm). RNAcentral describes it as "long non-coding RNA (EGUI_LNC060393)". Lineage: Eukaryota; Viridiplantae; Streptophyta; Magnoliopsida; Arecales; Arecaceae. The record is from RNAcentral.
ACUUAUCUAGCCAAUUUGAUGAAUUAUAUUUUGAUUAGAUUGCAAAAUGAUUCGAGUUGAUUCAUACCAUUAAGGUUGAUUAGUAUGACUGAUUUAGGUACCAUUUCAACCAACAUGAUCUUAAUCCAAUUCAAUGACUUGAUAAAGUCAGUGGGAGAAUUAUGGUUUACUGGUUGAUCCCUUCUUUUCUCUUCUCUUAAUUUAUG